Molecule: ribosomal RNA, 1001 nt
Filed under: Vibrio owensii
Lineage: Bacteria; Pseudomonadati; Pseudomonadota; Gammaproteobacteria; Vibrionales; Vibrionaceae
Description: bacterial SSU rRNA
Rfam family: Bacterial small subunit ribosomal RNA
Source: RNAcentral
GGGCGUGCGGCAAGCUAACACAUGCAAGUCGAGCGGAACGAGUUAUCUGAACCUUCGGGGGACGAUAACGGCGUCGAGCGGCGGACGGGUGAGUAAUGCCUAGGAAAUUGCCCUGAUGUGGGGGAUAACCAUUGGAAACGAUGGCUAAUACCGCAUAAUGCCUACGGGCCAAAGAGGGGGACCUUCGGGCCUCUCGCGUCAGGAUAUGCCUAGGUGGGAUUAGCUAGUUGGUGAGGUAAUGGCUCACCAAGGCGACGAUCCCUAGCUGGUCUGAGAGGAUGAUCAGCCACACUGGAACUGAGACACGGUCCAGACUCCUACGGGAGGCAGCAGUGGGGAAUAUUGCACAAUGGGCGCAAGCCUGAUGCAGCCAUGCCGCGUGUGUGAAGAAGGCCUUCGGGUUGUAAAGCACUUUCAGUCGUGAGGAAGGUGGUGUAGUUAAUAGCUGCAUUAUUUGACGUUAGCGACAGAAGAAGCACCGGCUAACUCCGUGCCAGCAGCCGCGGUAAUACGGAGGGUGCGAGCGUUAAUCGGAAUUACUGGGCGUAAAGCGCAUGCAGGUGGUUUGUUAAGUCAGAUGUGAAAGCCCGGGGCUCAACCUCGGAAUAGCAUUUGAAACUGGCAGACUAGAGUACUGUAGAGGGGGGUAGAAUUUCAGGUGUAGCGGUGAAAUGCGUAGAGAUCUGAAGGAAUACCGGUGGCGAAGGCGGCCCCCUGGACAGAUACUGACACUCAGAUGCGAAAGCGUGGGGAGCAAACAGGAUUAGAUACCCUGGUAGUCCACGCCGUAAACGAUGUCUACUUGGAGGUUGUGGCCUUGAGCCGUGGCUUUCGGAGCUAACGCGUUAAGUAGACCGCCUGGGGAGUACGGUCGCAAGAUUAAAACUCAAAUGAAUUGACGGGGGCCCGCACAAGCGGUGGAGCAUGUGGUUUAAUUCGAUGCAACGCGAAGAACCUUACCUACUCUUGACAUCCAGAGAACUUUCCAAAAAUGGAUUGGU